Astatotilapia calliptera (eastern happy) is the source of this 62-nucleotide microRNA precursor. Ensembl annotates it as microRNA 9-3. The record is from Ensembl. Lineage: Eukaryota; Metazoa; Chordata; Actinopteri; Cichliformes; Cichlidae.
UCUUUGGUUAUCUAGCUGUAUGAGUGAUAAUCAUGCAUCAUAAAGCUAGAUAACCGAAAGUA